CGUCUUAUAGGGGUUCCUGGGGUUGAGCUUCGGCUAAGGUGUUGGGAUUGGUAACCGACGGCAGCGGCGGGAGCACGAGCUAGGUGUCAGGACGGCGGCCGGAGUGUGAGGUGGGGCAGCAGUUCGGCAGCACAGCCUCGAGCGUAAGGGAGCGGGGGCUCGAGGUGGGGCUGUAGGUGGGCAGGAACGUGAGGUGGGGAAGGGGGGCUCGAGGUAGAGCUCUGGCUCGGCGGCAGGAGCUCUAGGUGUAUGUUGGCGGCAGGAGCCCGCGGGGGAGCUGUAGGUCGGCAGCAGGAGCGGUUAGGGCGGGACGACGACGGCCCCGGGGUAAAGGCCCGAGGGCGGCAACGGCGUGGACGACAACAGCCCGGAGGUAGAGACCCGAGGGCGACGAUGGCCAGGACGACGUUAGCCUGGACGGCGACGACCCCUAGGUAGGGGAAGCUCGACCCGGGGAGAGCUUCGGUCGGCAGCGGUACGGGACUCACGGUAUGUCCACCUAUCAAGAAGUUGUUUACUAUAGACUUGAAGUUUGACAAACCUGAAUUAAAACGCUAACGACUUCCGUUCCUUUUCUCUAUCACGUCUUCCUCGAAGUCGUCCGUACUACCAAGCUGUUGGUGUUACAGCGUUCCGGUAGGGGUAACGGGCCGUUGUGAUAAAGUCUAUUUUAGUCUUAUAAUAAAAACCUAUUCGACCUUCCCUCCAGUAAUAGAUGUUGACGAAUGGUAGACGAUAAAAUAGUUUGAUUAUUUGUUACCAAGUUUACUGAUCACAACGAUCGGCCCUUGGUGCUGGUGGUCGUACGUUAUACUCGUUACCCAUCUCUUGCCUACCGAUGGAGCGACCCUUGGUACCAGCGCGUGCACGUCGUCUUUUGCUUACCACCUACCUUUCCGAUGCAGUGGCCCUUGGUCCUGGCGCUGAACAUCAUCCGUUGAUGAUCCGUGAAUCGGUUGACCACGUGUACCUGCACUACUGAAACGUCACAAAUACCUAGUUGGUUGGACAUUAGUACCUAGAAUACACAGAAGAUCUGUUAAACUACAAAGCUCAUAAAACCUCGAACGUGAGACACGUACACCUACGUAUGAACACACAAGACCUGGUAGAUCGACUUCAGAGAGCAUGGUCGUUUAUCACGAGUAGGAAAACACUGAACACACAAGACCCACUAACAAUUCUACCAGUUUGAUACGAAACAGUUCUAAACUACACAAACAGUUGAACGCAAGUUACAUAUACGUACAAACACUUGUAUAAAAGUAACAAUA
RNAcentral lists this ribosomal RNA (1274 nucleotides) under Triticum aestivum (bread wheat). Its description in RNAcentral is "partial small subunit ribosomal RNA". The record is from RNAcentral. Lineage: Eukaryota; Viridiplantae; Streptophyta; Magnoliopsida; Poales; Poaceae.